This 88-nucleotide transfer RNA is filed under the name Euryarchaeota archaeon CG_4_9_14_3_um_filter_38_12. Its description in RNAcentral is "tRNA-Ile". It matches the Rfam family "tRNA". From Rfam's summary of the family: Transfer RNA (tRNA) molecules are approximately 80 nucleotides in length. RNAcentral also lists the same sequence under 1 other name. The record is from RNAcentral. Lineage: Archaea; Methanobacteriati; Methanobacteriota.
GCCGGGGUGGCGGAGCGGUUCAACGCGUCCGAUUGAUGAUCGGAAUGACCCCACCAGGUCAUCUUGGGUUCGAAGCCCAACCCCGGCG